Melitaea cinxia (Glanville fritillary) is the source of this 172-nucleotide long non-coding RNA. RefSeq lists it as uncharacterized. The record is from RefSeq and is a predicted model, not a curated record. Lineage: Eukaryota; Metazoa; Arthropoda; Insecta; Lepidoptera; Nymphalidae. The transcript is spliced from 2 exons.
AUGUGAUUUUAUAAUAAUAUUGUUUAUAUUAUGGCCAGUAUUAGUUAUUAGAUAGUUUUAGUCAAUUGUGUUUAAGGAUGUCAACGUCGCGAGGAGAGUUUAUGGAUUUGGGUUGUUAAGAGAUCGCUGGAUGUUUGGAAGAUAUCCACAAAAUAUACUUAAUGGUUUUCAU